GAUGAACGCUGACAGAAUGCUUAACACAUGCAAGUCUUUGGCGAAGCUGUGCUUGCACAGCCUAGCCAAGGCGGACGGGUGAGUAACGCGUAAGGAACUUGCCCUGCAGUCAGGGAUAACAGACGGAAACGACUGAUAAGACCUGGUAAAGUCAGGCGGACUCAUGUCCAGCCUGAUGAAAAGAGAUGCUGCAGGAGAGCCUUGCGUCCUAUUAGCUUGUUGGUGGGGUAACGGCCCACCAAGGCGAUGAUAGGUAGCCGGCCUGAGAGGGUGGACGGCCACAAGGGGACUGAGAUACGGCCCUUACUCCUACGGGAGGCAGCAGUGGGGAAUAUUGGACAAUGGGGGCAACCCUGAUCCAGCAAUUCGGUGUGCACGAUGAAGGUUUUCGGAUUGUAAAGUGCUUUCAGCAGGGAAGAAAAAAAUGACGGUACCUGCAGAAGAAGCGACGGCUAAAUACGUG
RNAcentral lists this ribosomal RNA (463 nucleotides) under uncultured bacterium. RNAcentral describes it as "partial 16S ribosomal RNA". It matches the Rfam family "Bacterial small subunit ribosomal RNA", at positions 28 to 507 of the family's 1533-position model. The record is from RNAcentral.